UAGAGUUUGAUCAUGGCUCAGAUUGAACGCUGGCGGCAGGCCUAACACAUGCAAGUCGAACGGUAACAGGAAACAGCUUGCUGUUUCGCUGACGAGUGGCGGACGGGUGAGUAAUGUCUGGGAAACUGCCUGAUGGAGGGGGAUAACUACUGGAAACGGUAGUAAUACCGCAUAACGUCGCAAGACCAAAGAGGGGGACCUUCGGGCCUCUUGCCAUCGGAUGUGCCCAGAUGGGAUUAGCUGUGGUGGGGUAACGGCUCACCAGGCGACGAUCCCUAGCUGGUCUGAGAGGAUGACCAGCCACACUGGAACUGAGACACGGUCCAGACUCCUACGGGAGGCACAGUGGGGAAUAUUGCACAAUGGGCGCAACCUGAUGCAGCCAUGCCGCGUGUAUGAAGAAGGCCUUCGGGUUGUAAAGUACUUUCAGCGGGGAGGAAGGGAGUAAAGUUAAUACCUUUGCUCAUUGACGUUCCCGCAGAAGAAGCACCGGCUAACUCCGUGCCAAGCCGCGGUAAUACGGAGGGUGCAAGCGUUAAUCGGAAUUACUGGGCGUAAAGCGCACCAGGCGGUUUGUUAAGUCAGAUGUGAAAUCCCCGGGCUCAACCUGGGAACUCAUCUGAUACUGGCAAGCUUGAGUCUCGUAGAGGGGGGUAGAAUUCCAGGUGUAGCGGUGAAAUGCGUAGAGAUCUGGAGGAAUACCGGUGGCGAAGGCGGCCCCCUGACGAAGACUGACGCUCAGGUGCGAAAGCGUGGGGAGCAACAGGAUUAGAUACCCUGGUAGUCCACGCCGUAAACAGUCGACUUGGAGGUUGUGCCCUUGAGSCGUGGCUUCCGGAGCUAACGCGUUAAGUCGACCCGCCU
Molecule: ribosomal RNA, 864 nt
Filed under: Escherichia coli
Lineage: Bacteria; Pseudomonadati; Pseudomonadota; Gammaproteobacteria; Enterobacterales; Enterobacteriaceae
Description: bacterial SSU rRNA
Source: RNAcentral